Long non-coding RNA from Alosa alosa (allis shad), 227 nucleotides. RefSeq lists it as uncharacterized. The transcript has 4 exons. Lineage: Eukaryota; Metazoa; Chordata; Actinopteri; Clupeiformes; Clupeidae. The record is from RefSeq and is a predicted model, not a curated record.
CAAGAGAGUUCACUCAUCAGGUCAAAGUUGGUCUGUCCUGAUGGCACUACCUGCUGCUUGAUGAUGUCUAGUAGCCAUCGCUGCUGCCUUCAACGCGGUAGUCCUCACAAAUAAACUGAUAUCAAGAAUUAACAUAGAUGGUGAUGGUGGCAAGUGAAGGUGCCACCCAGCAGUCCCAGCCUGCUUUUGCAAGCCGAUGGGGGAUGAUCUAUGUUAAGGUCGUGUAA